GAGAUGUAGCCAUCCAGGCGGACUGCCCCAACUCCCCGCGAUGGAGAGGGGAUGUCGCGGGCUGUGGAUGUGGAGGAGAGCCGUGUGACGAUAUACGCAGAAAGGAAAAAAAGGGAACCCGUUAGAUUUAAACAAAUGGACGGGGCCGGCGGGACGUCACGAUGCGCAGUCGCCACAAAGCUCAAUACGCCGCUCAUGAACGCGCUCAUUUGGCUCCCAGCAUGCGGCACGUCCGGAGGGACCGCUGGCUACCAGGAGCUCAUCCAAACCAAGUGCAACCCAUCCUGCUGCAUCUAAGGAGGACACAAAACAUCCAAACAAAAGCAACAUAAAUGAAGACGAGAACUACUUCCAGCCGCCACUCAGGUGUGUGUCGUAGGCUGUGUGUGCUGCGGGCAGAGAGCUAUGUUCGCAGGCUGGAGGGGUUGUCUGUUAUCUUUGGUUAUCUAGCUGUAUGAGUGAUGCACAUUUUUCAUAAAGCUAGAUAACCGAAAGUAACAAGAAUCCCAUUACACGCCUGCACGGAGGCAGAAGACUAAAUAAAAAACACAUCAAAAGAACCAGGAAGGGGCUCAGACGAUGGAGGUUGCCAAGCGAUGAUGUGAAGGUUUCUGACCAGUCUGGAGUUUGGAAUCAUCAAAUCCUUGCCUCCUUUGGACUGUGACUUUCAGUCCAGCGAUGUUCACUUCACACAAGAAUACAUCAUUAACAGAUAACAUAAAGGAGGGCACGCACUGAUUCUGUGAAAGCAGGAGCGGUCUCUAACACACUCUAAAACUGGUAAUGGAUACAAAAGUGACUUCAACAGCACAACAUCUUGAUCUGACACGUGAAAGAAGAUUUUGAUAUGCGUGGACAAACUGACAUUCGGCUAUUAUGAUGCUGCAACAGAGACGGCAAAGUGAUCUGUGUGUGUGUGUGUGUGUGUGUGUGUUUACACAAUGUUUUUGUGGACUGCUUUGCACAGCUGUUCAGGAAACAUCUGCACUAGAUUUUUCAUGUAGGUCAGGGCUUAGAUCACUCCAUUACAUGCAUGCACACACAAAUUCAGCCAUUCGAGAUUCAAACAUAAAAAAGAUUUGACUUUUUAAAUAGCUGCAGUUGUAAUUUUCUGUACUAUUCCUGAGUAUUAUUAGUAUUCAAUAGCAUUUAGUAUUAUUCUCCUUCAGGUGGGCAAUUUAUCUUAUGUUUGAUAUUCAUUUUUCUUACUUUUCUUUUGAAAUCUCUUUGUUUAUAAUUACUUUAGCUAGCACUUAGAGUAGUGUAUUUGUCUCGUGUGAAAUGUUGGUUGUUUGCAAUCAAAUUGUUGACAAUCUCUGACUGGAUCACCUGCAACAUUUGAAAUUAUUUUUUUGAUGAAGGGUUGUCAAAAUGUUUUAUGGUCAAGAUCCAUCAACUAAGAAUUGUAACUCAAUCAUUCCGAUAUUUUUUGACAUUUUAUUUCAUGUCAUAACUAUAUAUUGUGUUAUGUACAUCUCUAUAUCCCUUAGCAUGCUAAAUACUUUGGCGGUUAAACCAGCUCUGGCCACAGCCAUCUGUCAAAUACAUCACAUUUUUAUUAUACCUUUUUUAUUUUGUGUAUAAUAUCUUCAUUUAAAUUUACUUCAUUAGAUUUUAUUUUUAGAGUAUGCAUUUCAUUUUAGGAUUACUGCAGGAAGCAUUUAAUGCAAUCAAACUUAUUUUUGAUAUCUAUGCAAGAGAAAUGAGGAGGGGGUUCUGUUAAGUUUGCACUAUUUGUAUGAAUGAUUGCACAUGAAUUUUAUUGUUGAGUUUGCACAUCAACAGCUAAAUGUAUGGGUUCAUGUUGUGUGAGAGUUGUGGUAUUUUACCAAUAUGCACUAUAGGAGCGCAGUUGCAAUGUGUGUACUACGAUAUUAUUGGAGCGUGUUUGCCGUAGGUUCAUUAUAAACAGUGUGUUUAAUGAGAUGAUUUAAUCAGCUGUUAAUUGCACAGUCAGCCUCAGAAACUGAAAUCUGGAUUUAUUCCACAUUUCAUUUGUCAAUUCAGCUCCUUUGCCACUGUGAUAUGAAUAAUUCAAUGCAUAGGAAUUUGUGUUGAUCUGAUGUGGAACAUGAAUAUGAGCAAUAGAUUUUAUGCAGUUUGAAUACUAGUCAGUGGGAGUAAUUGAUUAUAUUACAGUGCACUAUGAACUGCUGUUUUAGGAGUCUUAUAAGCAUGAUUUGCACGUGAGCUGCUGUUAAUUUACUCAAUGUUUUAACUAUGCAAUUGUUUCUACUGCAGUUAAUUGAAAACAAUAAAAGUAAUAAUGUUUACAUGAAA
Eleginops maclovinus (Patagonian blennie) is the source of this 2280-nucleotide long non-coding RNA. RefSeq lists it as uncharacterized. NCBI's taxonomy places the organism in Eukaryota, Metazoa, Chordata, Actinopteri, Perciformes, Eleginopidae. The transcript has 4 exons. The record is from RefSeq and is a predicted model, not a curated record.